Magallana angulata is the source of this 5200-nucleotide RNA transcript. It is a transcript of the gene named semaphorin-2A-like, with no coding region annotated. NCBI's taxonomy places the organism in Eukaryota, Metazoa, Mollusca, Bivalvia, Ostreida, Ostreidae. The transcript has 21 exons. The record is from RefSeq and is a predicted model, not a curated record.
AGACUUAUUCAUUCGGAUUACCUCAGAUUUAUUAUAUGAUCGAUUGUUUUCCGAAUGUUAAACCUCUCCUCAUUGCCAAUCAUGGUUAUGAUCAUUAGGAUGCAUAUUAUUUCAAAGCGAGAUCCGAGAAAAAGGGUAAAGGCGAAGGCGUGAUGACGACUCGCUUCCUGUAGAGUGAUCCACACACACACACACAACAUCCUUGUUCACCCUGGUUGUCGGAAAAGACCUGCCAGUCUGUUAUAUGUUGGAUUAUCACCCAUAUGUUUAUUGAUCAACAAAUGAGAUGAUGUAUAGGAACAUUCCUGACUGACUGCCAGUUCCACUGUUUCUUAUUCUACCACUGAUAUUGUGAACCAUGGCAGUCCGGAUUUCUGUGAGAUGCCGGGUGAUGGAUUUCGUUACACACUGUGUUUUCUUCCUUCUGUACAUGACUGCUUUGGGACAGGCCCAAAAAUCCAACCAUUUUAAAGAAAAAGAUUUGAUGAUACACACAUUCCUGAAUCCUAGCAUCAGGAACUACAGUUAUUUAUAUAUUGACAAUGCCACAGGGUCAUUAUUUGUUGGUGCUAGGAACCGUUUAGUACAGUUGAGUUUAAUUAAUAUCAAUGCUUCAGAUAGCGUGAAAAUACUAGAAGUUCCAGCUUCUGAAUCAAAUAGGAAACCAUGUUUUUUCAAUGGAAAGUCUAAUGAAUACUGUCAGAAUUAUAUAAAGUACGUCGUGCGAGUGGACAACCUCACUCUGUCUUUCUGUGGUACAGAUGCCAAUACUCCAUCACAGUACACGGCAGCGUACAAUGUAACUACAGGUUCUUAUGAAUUUACCAGUAAAUCAUCCAAGGCCACAGCCUGUCCUCGUGAUCCCAAAGACAACACUACAGCAGUCUAUGUCAGAACUGGUAAUCCGGGUGACCUGCCUGCUCUCUAUGCAGCAACAAUCAAUGACAAUGGAAAGGCCACCAUCUCUAGACCCGAACUGAUCACGUCUGAUUCGACUAAAUUAAGCGAUAAGCUUGAGAAUGCUGAUCCUCUUCACUGGCUCAAUGAGCCCCAGUUUGUGGCAUCCUUUGAAGUUGAUGAUGUUGUUUAUUUCUUCUUCCGAGAAAUUGCAGUAGAAUUCACUGGUUUUAUGAAAAAAAUUGUAUCUAGAGUGGCACAGGUCUGUAAGAAAGACCUGGGAGGAAGUAGUUUACUUGUCAACAAAUGGACAACAUAUCAGAAAGCCAGACUUAACUGUUCCUUACCGGGAACAUUUCCAUUUUACUUUGAUGAAAUUCAGGAUGUUCAGUUGGUGAAUGACACUUUUUAUGCAUUGUUCAUCUCGUCUGCGAAUGGGUCGUCAGGCUCAGCUAUCUGUGCCUUCACUGUGCAGUCUGUCAAGGACCGGUUUGCUGACCGAGUGUACAAGUACAGAGAGACCUUGACCUCUGUCUAUUCCCCCCUUCCCGCAGAAAAGAUCCCUGCCGACAGCUCUCCCGGCAAGUGUAUUGAGAAUUCAAAGACCCUGAAGGACGUUGAGGAGAACUUUAUGAUGGAGUAUCCACUGAAGGAUGCCCCUGUACAACAGAAGGGGGGUGCUCCCCUCGUCUUCUUGGACGACAUUCAGAUGCAUGUGCUGCAGAUAGACAAAGAGCGAAGUCAACAGGGAGGGUCCCUCAUAUUGUAUGCUGGCUCCAACACUGGUGAUGUGUACAAGAUUCACUCAUGGGACAGCGGCAAGAAACAGGCUAUAGCUACUGUGUUCUCUCCCCUGACCAGCUAUGAGGGCAUCCGGGAUAUGAAGUUCCUGAAUGAUACUCUGUACAUCAGCACAGACUCGUCUGUCAAACAGUUUGGUGUGGUUGUGUGCGACAAGUACAACAAGGUUGACGCCUGUCUCUAUGACCCAUACUGCACCUGGAAAGGCAGCAUCUUCGCCGGAGUUUGUCAAGUCAGGAAACCAGGUAUGAAUUUAUACACUCAUGAGAGCAUUCCAAAGCUAAUGGAAGAUUACUUCAAGAAAGCAGGAGAAGACAUAACCGAUAGAAGUGUUGGCCGUGGAUUGUCCACCACUCUGCCCCAUUACUAUCCUUUUACCUUGGAUGGAAAGAAGGUGACAUGGCGACAUAACAAAACAAAUGAGGAAGUGAAGUUGGAUACAAACAAUAUGAAGACAUGUAACCAGGAUCUGGUUCUGUCUCGAGCUACAGAGAAGGAUGAAGGAACAUACGUUGCUUAUCUUGGAGACAGAAAGCUUAAUACAGUGAAAGUUACAUUGCUGAUUUCAAACGAGGACAUGGAGAAUGCCUGGAAAGCUAGGUUUACAGAGUGGUGUGAAGUCUUUGAUCAGGUGAAAAAAUACUCUGCCAGCUGCAAUCAAGGAUCUUGCUAACAAAGAAAGGGGGAAAGAAAAACACAUUACUCGGAUAAAAUGUCAUAUUCCAUCAGGUAAAUACAUGCGCAUUCAACUUUGGAUUUUAGGAUAUUUCGUAUGAAACUUUACAUCAGUGUGAAUGGGCUUGGAUCAAUCCAAACUGGUUAAUUCCAGUCUUUUCUGAGGGAGAACUGUGAAAGAAGAUUAUUCCAGGUCAUAUACUAUUACUGGAACAUGUCCAAGUCAUUCAAAAAUUUUUUGUUUUUAACUUCUGCCAUUUUGAAUAAGUGUCACCAUGGAAACAUGCAUCAUACCGGGAUAUGUGCGUGUGUUAGUACAUGUGUCUAUCUGUUUGUGUGUGUGUAAUCAACAUUUGUGUUAUUGUUGAGCACGGAAAUUGUUUUCAUGGUACUACAAAAGUUGCUGUAAUGCGCAAUGCGACUAACUUCCAUUUAUAUGAGAAUAUUUCAUAUUGAUGUGGAUUCAAGAAACACAGGAUCUACACAGGAUCAGUAUUUAUACGCAAGAAUUGUCUAGUCAGAGAUAAAUCCCAUAAUUGAUGUGUGUGAGGAGGAAUCUAUACAAAAUGUAGCUGUGUUGUCCACUUCAAGAGGAAUCCAAUACAACAUAUACCUGUGUUUUCCACUUAAGAAACUCAACCCGAGCAUUGAAAGGGGAGAUAAAUACACUGUGAUAGCAAUGUGGACAUGCUAGAAUCAAAGCUUUAAUCAAAUUUGCUACAUGUAGUGUUUGCUUCCAUAGUGAGUUAGCCAUAUGUUUAUAUCUUUGCAUUUUUUGUUUAUUUGUUUGGCCAGUAGCAAAUGGGUCAUUUUAUGUUAGAAUUUGGUUUUUCCAGUAUGAACGAGUAGAUUUGCCUUGUAUUAAUUGCCGUUUUACCUAAAGAAGUGAUAGCUCCUCACAAUCAACUCACUAGUUUUUUUAACAAAUAAGUAUUAAGGUUUAAGUUUGGUAUUAAUACUUUUAACUCAUGAAUAAAUAAAAUGUAAUUAAACUUUUAUUGUCUCAUGUAUUAAAAGUAUUGUAAUUAAUCAGCUAACAAAAUGAUAUAACUUACGCUUUUCAUUGUUUUCAGUCUACUGGUAUCUGCAGAAAUCUUUGAAGAAUUUUCUUCUUGAAAUCUACUUGUCGAGUAAAAUAAUGUGAAUUUGUAUUAUGUUUUAGUUUGAAUUAUUUUUUAGCCAAUGGACAAUACACAAUAAUGCAUUAUAUAAUGCCUUAAAGUUUAGUUAAAGCUAGUGCUUAUUCCAUCCUCAGAACAGCUAGCACUGUAGAAGGCUUUUAGUGGACUUUCGUGAUAUACAAAUUUCUUUGUAAUAUGUAUGUGUUCAAAGCCAACAACCUCUGUAGAAGUUUAAUCAUAUUUUUCUUAAUUUGAACUAGUGUAUUUGUACUUAUUGAUAAAUGCAGAAUGAUAAUGAAGUUCUGUAUCUUGUGUACAAGUACUUUCAAGGUCAGGUAAUUAAAAACAAAUAAAAAAGAUUUAAGAUUCAACAAGUAAUGAAUCUGAUUUUGGUUGCAAUAUAUAUCUUGCCAUAUGAUACUGUGUUCAUUUGCAAGUUCAUUUGAUUGACACAUGAAUGUGUAUUUCGGAUUUACAAGUUUUUAACACACUCCACAUUCUGCAAUCUCGAACCAUCGUUGUUAUUUCUCUGUUAAACUACAAAGCACAAGUUUUACAGAUACUUUAACCAUGUUAACUGAUAACUGGGAUUUUUUUUUGCAAACUAUGUAUGUACAAGACUUAAUUAAAAUUUCAUAUUUGAGGCUUCUUGGUAUGUGGCUUGCUAUUCAGAGGUAUACAUGUAGUUACAUAAAGUAAAAGACUGCAACUUUAGAAAUAUAAGUAGAUUUAUGCAUCAGCCUUGAAUUUCAUAUCCCUAGUACUGGUGCAGUAUCUACUAGACUUAAUAACCAGUGCAGGCAAGAUGACCAGCGAUAUGUUUGGUAUAAUGAAGAAAACUUCUGUUUUUAAGUUUUUGUUAGUAGUCAAAAUCAGUCAUUAACUAAAUUGCAUCAGUAAAACUUUGGCAGAUUUGAUGUUUAGGCAUAUGUUCAAACUGAAAUGAUUUGAACAGAAUAUUUGAACAAGAUAAACAUUCAGAUCUUAAGUUUAUAUUUUGCAUGUAAUUUAGGAUUUAUUCAAUACAUGUAUAAACAUAUUAACUCAAUAACUGGUAGAUGGAAAAAUGCUUGUACUUAUGAUGGGAAAAUGCAUGUGCAUUUAAAUCUAAUUAUUGAUACAAGUACUGGUAUAGUCUGCAUUUCAAUUUUUAAAAAACUUGAGAAUUUGUAUUGAUUAAAUUUAUAUUGUUUAUAAAUGCAUGAAACAAAGUUUGUAAUGUCAUAUUGAUGGUACUUCCAAAAUUGAUAGAUCAACAAAUAAUCGUUAUUAACCUUGAUAUUAAACGAAGUAAGAGUUAAUCUGGUACAUGUAUUAAUUGUUCACAGUUUGUUACUCACUCACAAUCUAUGAUCAGUGUUUGAUGCAUUUUUUAUAAUUGGAGCUUGCUGCUGCAAGAAAGAGUUGUGUUUAUUUAUUUCAGGCAUAAAUUCAAAGGAUCAUUUUACAUUUGCAACAUAAGGUCUACUGCAUUUUUUCAGAAUCUCUGAUGUAGUCUCCUUUGUGUACAAAAUCUUUGGUCAUCAUUACAGCUGUAAUAUACUUUGUGUUCACAGAUGUAAAAGUUAAGAGAUUUGAAUUUGGUAAUUUUACAUGUAAAAAUGUUUUUCCUUUCAUCCAAGAGCUUAACCUUGAGUUUGUUCAGAUCAUUAUUUUACUUAAUUUAUAAAAUCUAUUGCAUGUCUUGAAUAAAGUUUAUGACAUUG